UACGUAGGGACCAAGCGUUGUUCGGAUUUACUGGGCGUAAAGGGCGCGUAGGCGGCGUGACAAGUCACUUGUGAAAUCUCCGGGCUUAACUCGGAACGGCCAAGUGAAACUGUCAUGCUAGAGUGCAGAAGGGGCAAUCGGAAUUCCAGGUGUAGCGGUGAAAUGCGUAGAUAUCUGGAGGAAUACCGGUGGCGAAGGCGGCAUCCUGGACCGGCAUUGACGCUGAGGAGCGAAAGCCAGGGGAGCAAACGGG
Molecule: ribosomal RNA, 253 nt
Filed under: uncultured bacterium
Lineage: Bacteria
Description: partial 16S ribosomal RNA
Rfam family: Bacterial small subunit ribosomal RNA
Source: RNAcentral